GCAUUGAUGGUUCAGUGAUAAAAUUCUCACCUCCCAUGUGGGAGACCCAGGUUCAAUUCCUGGCCAAUGCA
RNAcentral lists this transfer RNA (71 nucleotides) under Loxodonta africana (African savanna elephant). It matches the Rfam family "tRNA". Rfam says of the family: Transfer RNA (tRNA) molecules are approximately 80 nucleotides in length. Lineage: Eukaryota; Metazoa; Chordata; Mammalia; Proboscidea; Elephantidae. The record is from Rfam by way of RNAcentral.